This 1837-nucleotide long non-coding RNA is filed under the name Homo sapiens (human). RNAcentral's name for it is "HSALNT0331281". Lineage: Eukaryota; Metazoa; Chordata; Mammalia; Primates; Hominidae. The record is from RNAcentral.
UGCUGGGAUUACAGGCGUUAGCCACCGCGCCUGGCCAGGUGCAUAAUGUUUUAAGGCACUAUGGUAGUUCAUGAAUUUUAACUAAGUGGAGGGAGGUAGUGGGAGAAUUGAGCCAGUUUACUCAUGGGGCAUGUGGACUCCGGGGCAAGCAGAGCUCAAAAGAACCUGGGCAAAAGCAAUCCUUUAAGUUAGAAGAAUGUAGGAAAUGAUUUGAGGGAGGAUGAGUUGAGCAAAUCCUGUCUUUGUACAACUUGUUCAUUAGCAGCAAGUGUAGUAGGAAACAAUGACAUUGUUUUACAUUUCUGAUUUGAGUAAUAAUUAGAUUAGGACACCAAUUCAAGCCAAAUUGCAUUAAUGACCACAAUGUCCACCUUAGUUUUACAGGAGUUAUUGGGUAACUGCAUAAAACCAGGCAUUCCAGGAUUGUUUGGAGGUGGUUUUGACCAAGUAUGAGGUCUACCUUGAGGUAGCAAAGAACUGAAGUUAUUAACACCAUUUUGUACAGAAUAAUUAUCUGAACAUUUUCUGCAUUCAUGUUAUUGACAAAAUCAAUAGACAAAAGUUGGUGUGCUCUCAUGUUUUGUUCUAAUAUGCAUUUAAUUAAUAAUGAUAUAUAAAAUGCUAUUUUUUCUUUGUUCCAAUGUUACUUUCUUGUGAAAAAAGACAUCCAAGACAAAAAUCUACUACUCACAUUAAGUUGUCCUUUGUCCUAGUUACCAUUACAUAUUCAGUUUUACAUAUUUUAACAAUAUUGUGGUUAGACUUUGGAUUUAUACAUUUCACUUAGCAUACUGUGAAUAUUUUCCAAUUUUGCAAAUCUGUUUGUUAUCUCCCUUUAUGCUCUUCUUAUACAUUCUUUGUUGACCACCAGCAUGACCACCAUCACCAGGCAAAUGUUGUUUGCCCAGGUAUGUAAGCCUGUACAUAUUUCUCCAUAAUCAUGUAAGCCUCUCCAAAGAUAUACAGACACAUGUACACCACAUAGAAAUAUAUAAAAUAUAUGUUAGAGAUUGUGAAUUUGUCAUUUGCUUUUACUAAAGUGAGAUCAUAAACUAUAUUUCUUAACCACUUUUUUUUUGCUUAAUUCAUCCGGACAGCCACCAGAUCAAUACACUACAGAUCCUACUUGUUUUAAAUAGUGACAUAGUUAUUCCUACUGUAGAGGUACAUGUUUAUUUACUUUUUCCCCAUUGAUGGUCAUUCAAGCUGUUUUCAUGUUUUUUGUCAUUACAAUGUCACAGUAAGUCUCAGAUUCGACCUUACAUUGUUAGGACUAGGAUCACUAGAUCAAAGGACUUUCUUGCAAAAAUGCCUGUUUGGGAUUCCUCAGAGUACAGACAAAAAGGAAGGCUUGAUCAGCAUGUGGUGGAUCUGAAGAUUCAAAGAGGUGCCACAGCUCAAAAGUAGACAUUUUGGCAAAUGUGAAGAAGUGAGAUUCAAUGAAGAUGAUAAGAAAUGAAAGGUGUUACCAAAAUUACACAAGUAUUUCUGUCAUUUUCCUACUAAAUUACAUGAAGGGGGUUGUCUGCUUAUGAGCUGCACCACCGAGCAGCAUGCCUAUCAGCGAGAAGGUGCCUGACAAUUCUCAGUUGAAAUGUCCUGACCAAGUUCCCCCAGAAAUUUAUGACUAAUAACAAAAGGGAAAAGCUACCCUCACAAGGAGAUGUCCAGUUGACACUAUCUCAACCAAAAUUAUUAAACAUAGCAUCAGCAAUCGUGGGACAAACAGACGCAAACAUCUCCUGGUGUGAGGCGAGGAAAGAAGACGACUUUACCAUGUGAACCCCUGUGGCUUCCUCAGAGACUGUCUGCUCUGGCACAUGCUCCUCCAGGUCUU